GGGUGUCUUUUCAAGGCCUUCCCAUCUCUACUCCCAAUAUAAAUCCCUUGAAAGAUAUUUUGCUCAGGGUUAGGUUGCACCGGGAUCAGCUCAUCCAGAUCCCGUGUGAGAGUGUUCUUUAGGGAUUUGCACAUGGUCACCUUCCAAAAUAUUUGGACACAUUGAGGAUUUCCACACUUUCAGGGAUGGGACGGGGUGGGGUGGGGGAGACAGAUCUAGCAAAGGGCAGAGGGUUGCUAGCUUUUUAUGCCUCGUAUAGACAAUGGGUCUGGGGCUUCCCUUCCACUACUUGGACUACAAUGACAACUUGUUUUCUGGGAUGGUGACCCUCAGAUGUUUAGAGGGAAAUUAUAUCUCCUUCCUUCGCAAUGGAACAGUUCAUCGAAACACAAGCGGCCCCGCUCAACACGCACUUGGUUUUCAUCUAACGCUGUAGAAGCCCACGUCUCUUCCCCCACUUCACCAGACAUUUCUAGAAUGAAUCGUUAUUUAGGAACUAUUGCACGGAGCAUGCUCAGAUCACCCCAAAUCCCCAUCCAGGCCAGCAGUGCUGUAUGUUAGCCGAAGGUGGUAGUUGACCGUGAACGGGAAACUGCAUCAUGACCUUGUGUGGCAAAAUGAAAGAAGGGGUCAGGCGUUGUGGAGUCUAAAGCUGGACCUGGGGAAGCCUCCGUAUAACCAAUCAGUUCGUAUCACGACUGUAGAAUAGAGUGGUCUGAAGGCUUCCAUGGAGGUCUCGUUGACUUUGGGUGUCAACAUCUAAAUCCCAAGUGGUUAAACCCCUUCAGGCAACCCGGUUCAAUGUGGAUUACACAGGGAGGCGGCUGCAAUUGCCCCUCUGAUGUUUUCAAAUGGCGAAUGUGCCAGAUCCACGCCCCUUCGUUGUCUUGACUUGCAGGAGUAUUCAAAGGCCACGCUGGAGAGUCUGUUGCAGCUUCUUCUAGCCCUCAAGUACUCUCAGUGACAUUCAGAGAGUAAGCCCUGCCAUCCGUUCACACACGUCCUCCAAUAGCGUCUACACCAGAAGUGGGCAAUUUAUGGCCCUCCAGAUGUUUUGGCCUAAAACUUCCAUCAGCCAUAGCCAGUGGUGAGUCGUGACGGGAGUUGUAGACCAAAACAUCUGAAGGACCACGCUUUGUCCACCCCUGGUCUAUAAGGUAAAUCCCAGAGUGCUGCCAACGAGGGCACGGUUGCAACCCAUUUCUCCUGUUCAUGCGUAAUUUUUGGCGCGCACCUCGGGAGCCAUUUGUGUAUGCCAGUGUUUGAGUUUAAUGGGAAUGGAUGUGGCCAGCGUGAGGAAUGCAGGCUGAGCUCUUGUAAGUCUUGGCUGGUGUCAUUCAGAAUACGUCUCUGCAUGUAUCUUUAGGCCCCAAAGUGCUCCCCUGUCUGUAAAAUAGGUGCACACCAGUCAUCUUGAACACGUCCUUGGCUUGAACUUCUCUAUUUGGAUUUUGUUUGUAUUAGAGUCAAUCCUAUAUGAAUGAUUUACAUGCUACCAGAGUCCCAUGGGGUCUUUUCAUGCGGCUGGAUCCUUGGGUGGAGGAACCAUGCCAUCCCCUCAGAACCAUACGGUUCCUCCUAACAGACCUUAGUGGGAAUACCAUGGGAUCCAGACGCAUUGGAGUAUCUGCCAUGUAACUCCAGUACUAUCGGAAUCAGCGCUUUGCCUGCUGCACAACCGGCAGCCUUCCUUAACCAGGUAUGCUCCAGAGGUGUUGGACUGCAACUCCCACCAUUCCCAGCUAGUACAGCUGUGGCUGAUGGGAGUUAUAGUCCAAAUACAUCUGGUGGUCACCUGGUGAAGGAAGGCUGAAUGGAGAUCUCUUCCAACAGUUGGCCAUCCAAUAUGGACAGGAGAAAGUAGCACUAAGAAUCUUGUUCUUUUGACCACUUGAAAAAUAACCCUUGUCUUGAUUCUGUUCUGCGCCCUCACUGUUGCAUCAUUGCUGUUUCCCCCUCAAAAUUAAAAGGUGUAUUGAAACUGUUCUAAGCAAUAAAUUGUCCCGGCACGUCCAGCCGAACCUUCACAGUCGGGCUUUCUGUGAUGGCCCAAUUUAGCCCUUUGAGACCAGCUAAGUUCCUCCGUUGAGACCCUGCAUUAUAAAGCUUUAUCCAGAUUACCUUUCCUUUAGAAAAGAACGAAUGUACCGAGAGUAGAAUUCAUUUGGGUUGGUGUUUUCUAUUUUUAGCACUAAUAAAAGGAACAAUGAAGGGAUUUUAAUUUCCCCGGCCUAUAUUUUUAUGUAGCUUCUUUCGUCUAUUUAAGUAUCACAUUUACCAUAGGCUUAGUAAAGAUCUUGGGAUUAAGUUUUUAAUGCUAGAAGCUUUGAGCCGCAUACUGUGGUGGUCAAGACGGCCUACGCUGGGCAGAGGGUCUUCCUCUAACCUCUCUACAGAGAAGCCAACACACAAAAAACCACCCCUCAUCGGUUACCUCAGUGGAGCCAACAGGGCUCUAUGGGUGAUGGACGCACUAUCGCUGUGCCUCUCUUGAUCAGUGUUAACUAUCUCGUUUUCCUGUCUUUGUGAAUACAAUUUCCUGGUUUUGUUCAAAGUUGAGUUUCUGUUUUGUGUGUUGUUUGGUUUUCUUUCUUUUUUUUCCCUUUUGGCUUCUGUGUUUAGCCAAAUAAAUGUCAUUUUACCCAAAA
Long non-coding RNA from Elgaria multicarinata webbii, 2648 nucleotides. RefSeq lists it as uncharacterized. The transcript is spliced from 2 exons. Lineage: Eukaryota; Metazoa; Chordata; Lepidosauria; Squamata; Anguidae. The record is from RefSeq and is a predicted model, not a curated record.